This is a long non-coding RNA of Cloeon dipterum, 2484 nucleotides long. RefSeq lists it as uncharacterized. The transcript has 5 exons. Lineage: Eukaryota; Metazoa; Arthropoda; Insecta; Ephemeroptera; Baetidae. The record is from RefSeq and is a predicted model, not a curated record.
AGGGGGGCCGCAGUUCAUUUUCGCGCGCCAGCUGGAGGGCGAUCUCUUAGCGCCACCUAUGAAGAGAAGGCAGUACUUGAGCCCGGGGACUCGGACCGCAGACGGCAUAUGGGCUAACGUGGAACCGGCUCUUUCUACGCUUGAUUGGGCCAUUUUAGUGGACAUGGAGAGUCCUCCUCCUGCCCUCCAUAUGGACAGACGACUGAAUAGACUGGCGAGGCCUUCGAGUGCUCCGGCCCCAACAUUACUGCAGACGAGCCAGACACCCUUGUUGCUGACGACCUGCUCGCCGUUGCUGCUUCAGAGGACCGCGGUCAGAAGGCCCUGAAAGGUGCUGAGGGCCCUGAGACUGACCCUGAGACGGUUCGCUGCCAAGAGCGUCGUUACAGCUGUGUUGGCCUUUCCGAGCACCGUGAUGGUCGUGCUGUCAAGACAACCGCUAAAAGUGCAUGCCAGCUCUCCAGACCGACAAGCCGACUGCCACCAAUGGAAUUGCCAGCGCCAAACCUGUGCGGUCAUCGAGUGUCUUUGGUUUGGGCAUUUUGGCAGUCUUACCAUAGAAAGAAGUCAGAGGGAGAACCCGCACCCAUGAGAUCCAUUUUAAUUCCGCCAGCAGCUGAACACCCAACCUUGGGCGGUUUUUGUGAAUCUUGCCUGUGUCUAGGUUAUUAAAGAAGAGCAAUUAUAGUUUGUUCUGAUGUGGCCAUAUGAACAUCCUCCUCUUGAACAAAAUCUCCACCAGCGGUCUCACUGUCAUUUUCAUGCUCAGCGCAAUUUUUUUGUAUCAUUUGGUCUGCUGGAGUUCUAUAAUAACUAGAAGGUUUUUAUCAUAAAUUUACUAGACUCAUUAAAGUGACCAAAUUUUUAUUUUUUUUCUUUGGGAAACAACGGAAUAGAUAGUGAAAAAGCCGAGACAGAAGAAAUUCGAGAUCUGACUGAAAAAAAUCAAACAGCAUGAUGUCGAAGAGGCUUAAAGAGCUGGUACAAUGAGCACUGCUGAUGAGAAGCUGAAGUUCUGAUGCGUUUGCAUAGGGAUAUCAGUGCCUUUGCUUAGGAACCUGAGCAAGUUUCCCUCUUAUUAUUAUUACUUGAAAUAAGUUAACAAAACUAUCCAGCAUUUAGGCAAAGUUAUUUAAGACUGAAUGAGAAAAAAAUAAUAUAAUAAUCGCACGUUAUUUCUUUUUUAAUUUUUUAAGAUUUUUUCCUUCUGUUUGGUUUAUGUUGUUUACGUUGAGAGAAUUUUUCACAAAAUUUUAAAAUAAAUUAAUUAAAUUGUAACCCAUAUCUUACUAAUAUGAUAAAAACACCAGUCUGCAUACUUUUAAAACUUUAUUAUAUACCUUUGCCGCCUAGCCAGUGCACGCUCUGAUCUUCCAACGACAAUGUCAAGUCCUGUUUGAUUUGUUUUCCAAGGGAGAACAUCGGGAAUUGCGUCAUCCCUUAAAAUUUGGCCAGUGGCUUUGCUGCCAGUGUUCAUAAGCCUCUGCAAUUUGUCCUCCAAGUACUGUGCUCUUGAAAAAUGAAGAGAACAGAAACGAAGAUUCUGCACGUUCUUGAUGUUCUCCCUAGGCCUUCCUGUUGCCCAAAUCCAUUUUUCCUUUAAUUCAGAGCUGUUGGGCACACUGAAAAAGCGAAACCCAAUUGCACUAGGCACCUGAAAAAAAUUAUUUGAAAGUGAGAGCACCAAAACACACACCGUGGUCAGAUAUUUCUUGUUUACAGGCAGUUUUCUAUAUAUACUGUAUAUUGCUAAUUCGGUGGCUUUACUAAUUAGAUUUUAUGGUUUUCAUUAAAAUCUAAAAGUCGCACAAUGAUUUUUCCAUUUUUUUAAAUUUUAAAUUUAGAUAUUAAAAAAUCAUGAAAUAUUUAUGCUGUAGGAGUUCUAUAAUGCGGUUUUAUGUGUUUAUUUUUAUUUAAUUUAUUUAGAAAAAUUGAGUUGGUCAGUUAAAUUUACUGCACCAAUAUGCAAUUUUCUGAAGAAAAGCAUCAAUUGCUUAAACUAUAUGUGCAAAAUAUUGGCAGUUGAUUUUAAAAUAAAAAAUUUGCAUUUUUUGGCAUCUAUUUACCUUUGCAGAAAAGUCAUCAGCAUAAUUGUUAUAGUUUUUAUGGCUAACAUUGCAGCCAAAUACCGCACAGUUUGACGGCAUGAUUGCAUUUGAGAUAUCUAUUAUGCCUAAUAUAACACAUUUUGCUAUCUCCUUGUUUUAAUUGAAAAAGUGGGAGUAAUUUCAGUUCCAUGGUUAGGCACUGUCCCCUCCCCAAACCCUAUUCCUGCACAGGGAAAAAUUCCAAAUAUGCAGGGGAAUGCAGCUCUGUCUAGACAAAAGUCUAGACAGAGCUAGACAAAAGUCUAGACAUGGUUGGCGUUUUGGACCAACUCAGUUUAUUCAAACCAAACGUUAGCCUGAUUUUUAAAACUUUAUUUUUUAAUAUUGAAACUAUGUAAAUUUUCAAAUGAUUUUUGUAGAGAAAUAGAGUUAGAAU